UAACAAAAUGAACUUCUCUCGUGUUGUGUUUUUAAUAUUUGCUUACUUUACCGCUUUCACCAUAACUGCGGCCUACGAGUGGGAAUCAAUUAUAAAAAAGCUGAACGCCGCUGCUAGUUGGUGUCCCCACGACAUCACUCCGAAGCCAAUGGUGAAAGUCAUCACGCAAGCAUCUAUCGGAUCAAAAGGACAACCACAACAAUAAAGUUGUUUUAAUUCUUUUCAUAUAUCAUUAAUGUUGAUAAUAAAUAUUCUUUGUGAGACGUA
This is a long non-coding RNA of Manduca sexta (tobacco hornworm), 267 nucleotides long. RefSeq lists it as uncharacterized. Lineage: Eukaryota; Metazoa; Arthropoda; Insecta; Lepidoptera; Sphingidae. The transcript has 2 exons. The record is from RefSeq and is a predicted model, not a curated record.